Molecule: small nucleolar RNA, 128 nt
Organism: Arvicanthis niloticus (Nile rat)
Lineage: Eukaryota; Metazoa; Chordata; Mammalia; Rodentia; Muridae
Product: small nucleolar RNA SNORA17
Source: RefSeq, a predicted model, not a curated record
CCUGUCCCUAGAAGAAUUGCAGGUGUGGCUACUGUGGUACAUGUGCGUUAGUAGGUGGAAGAGGAGAGGGGACUAUGUCUAGCCCCAGUGUUCUGACCUAUGAACAUCUGAAUUAAUAGCUUAUCAUU